RNAcentral lists this ribosomal RNA (497 nucleotides) under uncultured bacterium. RNAcentral's name for it is "partial 16S ribosomal RNA". It matches the Rfam family "Bacterial small subunit ribosomal RNA", at positions 28 to 507 of the family's 1533-position model. The record is from RNAcentral.
GAUGAACGCUGGCGGCGUGCCUAAUACAUGCCAGUCGAGCGAACAGACGAGGAGCUUGCUCCUCUGACGUUAGCGGCGGACGUGUGAGUAACACGUGGAUAACCUACCUAUAAGACUGGGAUAACUUCGGGAAACCGGAGCUAAUACCGGAUAAUAUAUUGAACCGCAUGGUUCAAUAGUGAAAGACGGUUUUGCUGUCACUUAUAGAUGGAUCCGCGCCGCAUUAGGUAGUUGGUAAGGUAACGGCUUACCAAGGCAACGAUGCGUAGCCGACCUGAGAGGGUGAUCGGCCACACUGGAACUGAGACACGGUCCAGACUCCUACGGGAGGAAGCAGUAGGGAAUCUUCCGCAAUGGGCGAAAGCCUGACGGAGCAACGCCGCGUGAGUGAUGAAGGUCUUCGGAUCGUAAAACUCUGUUAUUAGGGAAGAACAAAUGUGUAAGUAACUAUGCACGUCUUGACGGUACCUAAUCAGAAAGCAACGGCUAACUACGUG